CUGAGUUCGGGGGCAAUCCCAGUCCCGACCUCCAACCCUUUGUGAACACAUCUUGUUGCUUCGGGGGCGACCCUGCCGUUCGCGGCGAGCGCCCCCGGAGGCCUUCCAACACUGCAUCUCUGCGUCGGAGUUUAAGUAAAUUAAACA
This 147-nucleotide unclassified non-coding RNA is filed under the name uncultured Mycosphaerellaceae. Lineage: Eukaryota; Fungi; Ascomycota; Dothideomycetes; Mycosphaerellales; Mycosphaerellaceae. The record is from RNAcentral.